This is a non-coding RNA of Acanthosepion pharaonis, 110 nucleotides long. Lineage: Eukaryota; Metazoa; Mollusca; Cephalopoda; Sepiida; Sepiidae. The record is from the annotation of a GenBank genome assembly.
AACCAUAUCAAGUUGAUGCACCAGUUCCCAUACGAUCACCGAAGUUAAGCAACGCCCAGCCUGAUCAGUACCUUGAUGGGUGACCGCUUAGGAAUACCAGGUACUGUAAG